GAUGAACGCUGGCGGCGUGCCUAAUACAUGCAAGUCGAGCGAACAGACGAGGAGCUUGCUCCUCUGACGUUAGCGGCGGACGGGUGAGUAACACGUGGAUAACCUACCUAUAAGACUGGGAUAACUUCGGGAAACCGGAGCUAAUACCGGAUAAUAUAUUUAACCGCAUGGUUCAAUAGUGAAAGACGGUUUUGCUGUCCCUUAUAGAUGGAUCCGCGCCGCAUUAGCUAGUUGGUAAGGUAACGGCUUACCAAGGCAACGAUGCGUAGCCGACCUGAGAGGGUGAUCGGCCACACUGGAACUGAGACACGGUCCAGACUCCUACGGGAGGAAGCAGUAGGGAAUCUUCCGCAAAGGGCGAAAGCCUGACGGAGCAACGCCGCGUGAGUGAUGAAGGUCUUCGGAUCGUAAAACUCUGUUAUUAGGGAAGAACAAAUGUGUAAGUAACUAUGCACGUCUUGACGGUACCUAAUCAGAAAGCCACGGCUAACUACGUG
RNAcentral lists this ribosomal RNA (497 nucleotides) under uncultured bacterium. RNAcentral describes it as "partial 16S ribosomal RNA". It matches the Rfam family "Bacterial small subunit ribosomal RNA", at positions 28 to 507 of the family's 1533-position model. The record is from RNAcentral.